CCUGCGAAUCUGAAUGAAUCUUGGAUUAUGAUCAACUCUUUGAUCCUUUUCUUGAGCUUCUUCUUCUCUUCUUCUCUUGCUUUUCUUCAUUAGAUUAUGCUGCUACCAUGGAGUGGAAACCAGCACACAAGGGAUGCCCAACAGCCCUUGGGCGUGGAAGAGAGAGGAUGCCCAAAAGGGGUGGGGCGUUUGGACGUCCAAGGAAGAAGAGAGAG
RNAcentral lists this long non-coding RNA (215 nucleotides) under Elaeis guineensis (African oil palm). RNAcentral's name for it is "long non-coding RNA (EGUI_LNC064156)". The record is from RNAcentral. Lineage: Eukaryota; Viridiplantae; Streptophyta; Magnoliopsida; Arecales; Arecaceae.